GUUUGGAGUCCCUGACCCGGUGUUUCCCGGAGAUGAUAGCCUGAGGGACAAGAGUGGAGCUCUUUGGCAGUGUACUACCCUGUGCCUGUAACCUGCCUCAAGACAUGAAGUGUGGUCACCGUAUAAUUCAUUAUCCAAACUUAUCCCAAGGGGGCCACUGUGGAGAGAAGAAGAGCUUUUACAAGCAGCCAGACAACAGCAGGCACCCACCCUCCACUGUGGAAGAUGAGGGAAGGUUAUGGGCUUCCAUCUGGGUGCUUCUUGUCGCACCUCCAGGACCAGGAAAAGCCAGCCCCAGUUACUAAUGCCUGAGGGGGCACAUUUGCAGAGCAGCAGCGGGACCUUGGGGCAUGACAGCUGCAGAGGCAGAGGUGUCCUGGGUAGGAACCCUCUGGUAGCCACGGUGUUUCCAGCUCUGGGGUGCUGCUUCCCCAGUGGACAUUUGGCAAUGUCUGAAGAACUUUUUGGUUGUCACACCUACAUAUCCUCAUGCACAGAGAUAUGAAUGAGUCUCUAAAAGGCAAGCCUGAAGAUGGGAAGUUUAACGACCCUAAAGUCAGUGGUUUUUUCUGAUGCAACUGCCUUUGAGUCACCCAUACACUUGUAAGUAAACCCUCAUCCAUCUUCACAACAUCCCUGGUUCCUUUUCCUG
This 652-nucleotide long non-coding RNA is filed under the name Cricetulus griseus (Chinese hamster). Its description in RNAcentral is "lncRNA (ENSCGRG00015038796.1)". Lineage: Eukaryota; Metazoa; Chordata; Mammalia; Rodentia; Cricetidae. The record is from RNAcentral.